This 225-nucleotide ribosomal RNA is filed under the name uncultured Spirochaeta sp. RNAcentral's name for it is "partial 16S ribosomal RNA". It matches the Rfam family "Bacterial small subunit ribosomal RNA", at positions 1159 to 1382 of the family's 1533-position model. Lineage: Bacteria; Pseudomonadati; Spirochaetota; Spirochaetia; Spirochaetales; Spirochaetaceae. The record is from RNAcentral.
CAAACCGGAGGAAGGUGGGGACGACGUCAAGUCAUCAUGGCCCUUAUGUCCUGGGCUACACACGUGCUACAAUGGCCGGUACAGAGCGCCGCGAGGCCGCGAGGCGGAGCGAAUCGCUUAAAGCCGGUCCCAGUACGGAUUGGAGUCUGCAACCCGACUCCAUGAAGUUGGAAUCGCUAGUAAUCGCGCAUCAGCAUGGCGCGGUGAAUACGGUUCCCGGGCCUU